This 423-nucleotide ribosomal RNA is filed under the name uncultured bacterium. RNAcentral's name for it is "bacterial SSU rRNA". It matches the Rfam family "Bacterial small subunit ribosomal RNA", at positions 207 to 622 of the family's 1533-position model. The record is from RNAcentral.
AAGACCUUGCGCUUUUGGAGCGGCCGAUGCCUGAUUAGCUAGUUGGUGGGGUAAUGGCCUACCAAAGCUUCGAUCAGUAGCUGGUCUGAGAGGACGGCCAGCCACACUGGGACUGAGACACGGCCCAGACUCCUACGGGAGGCAGCAGUGGGGAAUUUUGGACAAUGGGCGCAAGCCUGAUCCAGCCACGCCGCGUGAGUGAAGAAGGCCUUCGGGUUGUAAAGCUCUUUCAGCCGGGAAGAAAAGGUUGCGAUUAAUAAUCGCAAUUUAUGACGGUACCGGAAGAAGAAGCACCGGCUAACUACGUGCCAGCAGCCGCGGUAAUACGUAGGGUGCGAGCGUUAAUCGGAAUUACUGGGCGUAAAGGGUGCGCAGGCGGUUUUGUAAGUCAGAUGUGAAAUCCCCGGGCUUAACCUGGGAACU